RNAcentral lists this ribosomal RNA (301 nucleotides) under uncultured bacterium. Its description in RNAcentral is "partial 16S ribosomal RNA". It matches the Rfam family "Bacterial small subunit ribosomal RNA", at positions 509 to 808 of the family's 1533-position model. The record is from RNAcentral.
CAGCCGCCGCGGUAAUACGGAGGGAGCUAGCGUUGUUCGGAAUUACUGGGCGUAAAGCGCACGUAGGCGGCUUUGUAAGUUAGAGGUGAAAGCCUGGAGCUCAACUCCAGAACUGCCUUUAAGACUGCAUCGCUUGAAUCCAGGAGAGGUGAGUGGAAUUCCGAGUGUAGAGGUGAAAUUCGUAGAUAUUCGGAGGAACACCAGUGGCGAAGGCGGCUCACUGGACUGGUAUUGACGCUGAGGUGCGAAAGCGUGGGGAGCAAACAGGAUUAGAUACCCGCGAGUCCCUGUCUCUUAUACC